RNAcentral lists this ribosomal RNA (540 nucleotides) under uncultured bacterium. RNAcentral's name for it is "bacterial SSU rRNA". It matches the Rfam family "Bacterial small subunit ribosomal RNA", at positions 355 to 890 of the family's 1533-position model. The record is from RNAcentral.
UGGGGAAUAUUGCGCAAUGGGGGGAACCCUGACGCAGCCAUGCCGCGUGAAUGAAGAAGGCCUUAGGGUUGUAAAGUUCUUUCGGUAUUGAGGAAGGUUGAUGUGUUAAUAGCACAUCAAAUUGACGUUAAAUACAGAAGAAGCACCGGCUAACUCCGUGCCAGCAGCCGCGGUAAUACGGAGGGUGCGAGCGUUAAUCGGAAUAACUGGGCGUAAAGGGCACGCAGGCGGUUAUUUAAGUGAGGUGUGAAAGCCCCGGGCUUAACCUGGGAAUUGCAUUUCAGACUGGGUAACUAGAGUACUUUAGGGAGGGGUAGAAUUCCACGUGUAGCGGUGAAAUGCGUAGAGAUGUGGAGGAAUACCGAAGGCGAAGGCAGCCCCUUGGGAAUGUACUGACGCUCAUGUGCGAAAGCGUGGGGAGCAAACAGGAUUAGAUACCCUGGUAGUCCACGCUGUAAACGCUGUCGAUUUGGGGGUUGGGGUUUAACUCUGGCGCCCGUAGCUAACGUGAUAAAUCGACCGCCUGGGGAGUAGCAAGUA